This 498-nucleotide ribosomal RNA is filed under the name uncultured bacterium. RNAcentral's name for it is "partial 16S ribosomal RNA". It matches the Rfam family "Bacterial small subunit ribosomal RNA", at positions 28 to 507 of the family's 1533-position model. The record is from RNAcentral.
GGCGAACGCUGGCGGCGUGCCUAAUACAUGCAAGUCGAGCGGACGAUUCGAAAGCUUGCUUUUGAAUCGUUAGCGGCGGACGGGUGAGUAACACGUGGGCAACCUGCCCUGUAGACGGGGAUAACACCGAGAAAUCGGUGCUAAUACCGGAUAACACGAAAUGUCGCAUGACGUUUCGUUGAAAGGCGGCGCAAGCUGCCGCUACAGGAUGGGCCCGCGGCGCAUUAGCUAGUUGGUGAGGUAACGGCUCACCAAGGCGACGAUGCGUAGCCGACCUGAGAGGGUGAUCGGCCACACUGGGACUGAGACACGGCCCAGACUCCUACGGGAGGCAGCAGUAGGGAAUCUUCCGCAAUGGACGAAAGUCUGACGGAGCAACGCCGCGUGAGCGAAGAAGGCCUUCGGGUCGUAAAGCUCUGUUGUUAGGGAAGAACAAGUAACGUAGUAACUGACGUUACUAUGACGGUACCUAACGAGAAAGCCACGGCUAACUACGUG